This 90-nucleotide transfer RNA is filed under the name Coprinopsis cinerea okayama7#130. RNAcentral's name for it is "tRNA-Phe". Lineage: Eukaryota; Fungi; Basidiomycota; Agaricomycetes; Agaricales; Psathyrellaceae. The record is from RNAcentral.
GGGGGCAUAGCUCAGUUGGGAGAGCAGUAGACUGAAGCACGAAGCACUUGUGUAUUCUAAAGGUCCCGCGUUCAAUCCGCGGUGCCCCCA